This 521-nucleotide ribosomal RNA is filed under the name uncultured Bacteroidota bacterium. RNAcentral's name for it is "uncultured Bacteroidetes bacterium partial 16S ribosomal RNA". Lineage: Bacteria; Pseudomonadati; Bacteroidota. The record is from RNAcentral.
UUACCGCGGGUGCUGGCACGGAGUUAGCCGAUGCUUAUUCUUACAGUACCGUCAUCUGAGUACUCGUACUCAUUAUUCUUCCUGUAUAAAAGCAGUUUACAACCCAUAGGGCAGUCUUCCUGCACGCGGCAUGGCUGGAUCAGAGUUGCCUCCAUUGUCCAAUAUUCCUCACUGCUGCCUCCCGUAGGAGUCUGGUCCGUGUCUCAGUACCAGUGUGGGGGAUCUCCCUCUCAGGACCCCUACCUAUCGUCGCCUUGGUAAGCCGUUACCUUACCAACUAACUAAUAGGACGCAUACUUAUCUAUCACCGCCGAAACUUUAAUAUAUAAUUAAUGCCAAUCAUAUAUACCAUGGGGGAUUAAUUCAAAUUUCUUCGAGCUAUACCCCUGUGAUAGGUAAAUUGUAUACGCGUUACUCACCCGUGCGCCACUCGUCAUCAGAUUGCAAGCAAUCUAUGUUACCGUUCGACUUGCAUGUGUUAAGCCUGCCGCUAGCGUUCAUCCUGAGCCAUGAUCAAACUC